UACGACUACAUAUCAGGCAUAUCAAUAAGCGGAGGAAAAGAAACUAACAUAGGAUUCCCUCAGUAACGGCGAGUGAAGCGGGAAGAGCUCAAAUUUGAAAUCUUCAAGGUUUUACCUUGACGAAUUGUAGUUUAAAGAAGUGUUUUCUGUUGAAGUUUUGGUAAAAGUUCUUUGGAAUAGGACAUCAUAGAGGGUGAGGAAUCCCGUAUUUGACCAUUAUUUUCAGCUGUGUGAUACACUUUCAAAGAGUCGGAUUGUUUGGGAAUGCAGUCCAAAAUGGGUGGUAAAUUUCAUCUAAAGCUAAAUAUUGGCGAGAGACCGAUAGCGAACAAGUACCGUGAGGGAAAGAUGAAAAGAACUUUGAAAAGAGAGUUAAACAGUACGUGAAAUUGUCAAAAGGGAAGCGUUUGACACCAGUGUUGUUUUCUCGAAAAUCAAUUAAAAAGAGUUGGAUUUUGUGUUGUAUUGACCUUAACAGCUUGCUUCACUCUUUUCCAGCUUCUUUUAAUGCACCUAUUCGUUUAACAAGUCAACAUCAGUUUCUUUUGUUGUAAAAGGGUCAUUGGAAGGUGGCUUUCUCUUCGGAGAAAGUGUUUAUAGCCUUUGAUCUCUGCAAUCGGAGAGACUGAGGUCUGCAGCGUAGAUCCUUCGGGGUUAGAUACAUUUGUGCUAAGCUACAGCUUUUCAUAGACAACUUGUUGACUAUGUUUAGUCUUGUGACUUACCCGCUUAUGCUAUUUUACCUACGCUUAGGAUGUUGAGCGCAUGUCUCUCUCU
RNAcentral lists this ribosomal RNA (777 nucleotides) under uncultured Neocallimastigales. RNAcentral's name for it is "partial large subunit ribosomal RNA". It matches the Rfam family "Eukaryotic large subunit ribosomal RNA", at positions 24 to 616 of the family's 3401-position model. Lineage: Eukaryota; Fungi; Neocallimastigomycota; Neocallimastigomycetes; Neocallimastigales. The record is from RNAcentral.